GGACACGCUGGAGAGACUAUGUCUCUCGGCUGGAACGACCUGGAAGCGAGGAUGAGGACAAUCACAGACCUCAAUGAAAAGGCAUGGCCUGAAACAUAUGCAUCAAGGCCCCUACAAAGUCCUUGAUAUGUCAGAAAAUGGCGUGGCCACCAUCCAAAAGAACACUGGGUCCUUGCAGAAGGUGAAUAUCAAUCGCCUGAGGCCGUACUACAGACAGAAACAUUAACAGUCUAAAGGACUGUGUAGGAGAGAGUGAUCAAAUCUGAGCUGGACAUCUACGUCAAUUGUGUUUAAAUGACAUCGUUCCAG
Long non-coding RNA from Scomber japonicus (chub mackerel), 309 nucleotides. RefSeq lists it as uncharacterized. NCBI's taxonomy places the organism in Eukaryota, Metazoa, Chordata, Actinopteri, Scombriformes, Scombridae. The transcript has 3 exons. The record is from RefSeq and is a predicted model, not a curated record.